This 68-nucleotide transfer RNA is filed under the name Otocyon megalotis (bat-eared fox). Its description in RNAcentral is "tRNA-Asp". The record is from RNAcentral. Lineage: Eukaryota; Metazoa; Chordata; Mammalia; Carnivora; Canidae.
GGGAUAUUAGUAAAAGAUUACAUAACUUUGUCGAAGUUAAAUUAUAGGUGAGAUCCCUAUAUAUCUCU